RNAcentral lists this ribosomal RNA (305 nucleotides) under uncultured bacterium. Its description in RNAcentral is "bacterial SSU rRNA". It matches the Rfam family "Bacterial small subunit ribosomal RNA", at positions 338 to 641 of the family's 1533-position model. The record is from RNAcentral.
CCUACGGGGGGCAGCAGUGAGGAAUAUUGGUCAAUGGGCGCGAGCCUGAACCAGCCAAGUCGCGUGAGGGAAGACGGUCCUAUGGAUUGUAAACCUCUUUUGUCGGGGAGCAAAAGACGCCACGUGUGGCGUUCCGAGAGUACCCGAAGAAAAAGCAUCGGCUAACUCCGUGCCAGCAGCCGCGGUAAUACGGAGGAUGCGAGCGUUAUCCGGAUUUAUUGGGUUUAAAGGGUGCGCAGGCGGAAGAUCAAGUCAGCGGUAAAAUUGAGAGGCUCAACCUCUUCGAGCCGUUGAAACUGGUUUUU